This 122-nucleotide small RNA is filed under the name uncultured Fusobacterium sp. RNAcentral describes it as "ydaO/yuaA leader". It matches the Rfam family "c-di-AMP riboswitch aptamer (ydaO/yuaA leader)". Rfam says of the family: This family represents a conserved RNA structure found upstream of the ydaO and yuaA genes in Bacillus subtilis and related genes in other bacteria. Lineage: Bacteria; Fusobacteriati; Fusobacteriota; Fusobacteriia; Fusobacteriales; Fusobacteriaceae. The record is from RNAcentral.
UAAAAAUCGCUUAAUUUAUCUGAUAAAGCGGGGGACCCAUUUUUUUGGGGCGUAUUUCUCUUUUGAGAAUAGGAUAACUCAUUCAAUCCGAGCCCGUCAGCUAACCUCGUCAGCGUUGAUUG